RNAcentral lists this ribosomal RNA (324 nucleotides) under Nitrosospira sp. RNAcentral describes it as "bacterial SSU rRNA". It matches the Rfam family "Bacterial small subunit ribosomal RNA", at positions 171 to 490 of the family's 1533-position model. Lineage: Bacteria; Pseudomonadati; Pseudomonadota; Betaproteobacteria; Nitrosomonadales; Nitrosomonadaceae. The record is from RNAcentral.
GCAUAAUCUCUACGGAGAAAAGCAGGGGAUCGCAAGACCUUGCGCUUUUGGAGCGGCCGAUGUCUGAUUAGCUAGUUGGUGAGGUAAAGGCUUACCAAGGCUUCGAUCAGUAGCUGGUCUGAGAGGACGACCAGCCACACUGGGACUGAGACACGGCCCAGACUCCUACGGGCGGCAGCAGUGGGGAAUUUUGGACAAUGGGGGAAACCCUGAUCCAGCCAUGCCGCGUGAGUGAAGGAGGCCUUCGGGUUGUAAAGCUCUUUCAGCCGGAACGAAACGGUCACGGCUAAUACCCGUGAUCACUGACGGUACCGGAAGAAGAAG